GAUGAACGCUGGCGGCGUGCUUAACACAUGCAAGUCGAACGAUGAAGCCCAGCUUGCUGGGUGGAUUAGUGGCGAACGGGUGAGUAACACGUGAGUAACCUGCCCUUAACUCUGGGAUAAGCCUGGGAAACUGGGUCUAAUACCGGAUAGGAGCGCCUACCGCACGGUGGGUGUUGGAAAGAUUUAUCGGUUUUGGAUGGACUCGCGGCCUAUCAGCUUGUUGGUGGGGUAAUGGCUCACCAAGGCGACGACGGGUAGCCGGCCUGAGAGGGUGACCGGCCACACUGGGACUGAGACACGGCCCAGACUCCUACGGGAGGCAGCAGUGGGGAAUAUUGCACAAUGGGCGAAAGCCUGAUGCAGCGACGCCGCGUGAGGGAUGACGGCCUUCGGGUUGUAAACCUCUUUCAGUAGGGAAGAAGCGAAAGUGACGGUACCUGCAGAAGAAGCACCGGCUAACUACGUG
RNAcentral lists this ribosomal RNA (466 nucleotides) under uncultured bacterium. RNAcentral's name for it is "partial 16S ribosomal RNA". It matches the Rfam family "Bacterial small subunit ribosomal RNA", at positions 28 to 507 of the family's 1533-position model. The record is from RNAcentral.